CGCACGGGUGAGUAACACGUAUCCAACCUGCCGUCUACUCUUGGCCAGCCUUCUGAAAGGAAGAUUAAUCCAGGAUGGCAUCAUGAGUUCACAUGUCCGCAUGAUUAAAGGUAUUUUCCGGUAGACGAUGGGGAUGCGUUCCAUUAGAUAGUAGGCGGGGUAACGGCCCACCUAGUCAACGAUGGAUAGGGGUUCUGAGAGGAAGGUCCCCCACAUUGGAACUGAGACACGGCCCAA
RNAcentral lists this ribosomal RNA (237 nucleotides) under uncultured bacterium. Its description in RNAcentral is "partial 16S ribosomal RNA". It matches the Rfam family "Bacterial small subunit ribosomal RNA", at positions 99 to 334 of the family's 1533-position model. The record is from RNAcentral.